UACGUAGGGACCAAGCGUUGUUCGGAUUUACUGGGCGUAAAGGGCGCGUAGGCGGCAAAUUAAGUCAGCUGUGAAAUCUCCGAGCUUAACUCGGAACUGUCAGCUGAUACUGAUGUGCUAGAGUGCGGAAGGGGCAAUCGGAAUUCUUGGUGUAGCGGUGAAAUGCGUAGAUAUCAAGAGGAACACCUGAGGUGAAGACGGGUUGCUGGGCCGACACUGACGCUGAGUGCGCGAAAGCGUGGGGAGCGAACAGG
Molecule: ribosomal RNA, 254 nt
Filed under: uncultured bacterium
Lineage: Bacteria
Description: partial 16S ribosomal RNA
Rfam family: Bacterial small subunit ribosomal RNA
Source: RNAcentral